UAGGCAUGGUGAUCUUUACUGUAAGCAUGGCGUGCUUUACUAUAGACAUGGUGUUCUUUACUGUAAGCAUGGUGUUCUUUACUGUAAGCAUGGUGUUCUUUACUGUAGACAUGGUGUGCUUUGCUGUAGACAUGGUGUGCUUUACUGUAGGCAUGGUGUUCUUUACUGUAGGCAUGGGGUUCUUUACUGUAGGCAUGGUGUUCUUUACAGUAGACAUGGUGUGCUUUACUGUUGACAUGGUGUGCUUUACUGCAGGCAUGGGGUUCUUUACUGUAGGCAUGGUGUUCUUUACAGUAGACAUGGUGUGCUUUACUGUAGACAUGGUGUUCUUUACAGUAGACAUGGUGUGCUUUACUGUAGGCAUGGUGUUCUUUACUGUAG
Long non-coding RNA from Oncorhynchus tshawytscha (Chinook salmon), 381 nucleotides. NCBI's taxonomy places the organism in Eukaryota, Metazoa, Chordata, Actinopteri, Salmoniformes, Salmonidae. The record is from Ensembl.